AUUCAGGUGGUUAUAGCACGAGGGUUCCACCUCUUCCCAUUCCGAACAGAGAAGUUAAGCCUCGUCACGCCGAUGGUACUGCGUAACAGUGGGAGAGUAGGUAGCCGCCAUUUUU
This 115-nucleotide ribosomal RNA is filed under the name Bacteroides ovatus. Lineage: Bacteria; Pseudomonadati; Bacteroidota; Bacteroidia; Bacteroidales; Bacteroidaceae. The record is from RNAcentral.